CUACGGGUUGCAGCAGUGAGGAAUUUUGCGCAAUGGGGGCAACCCUGACGCAGCAACGCCGCGUGAGUGAAGAAGGCCUUUGGGUCGUAAAGCUCUGUCAACAGGGAAGAAGUUAUAAUUAUUUAAUAGAUAAUUGUAUUGACGGUACCUGUGGAGGAAGCGCCGGCUAACUCCGUGCCAGCAGCCGCGGUAACACGGGGGGCGCAAGCGUUAUUCGGAAUUAUUGGGCGUAAAGGGCGCGCAGGCGGUCUUGUCCGUCAGGUGUGAAAGCUCGGGGCUCAACCCCGGAAGUGCACUUGAAACAGCAAGACUUGAAUACGGGAGAGGAGAGAGGAAUUCCUGGUGUAGAGGCGAAAUUCGUAGAUAUCAGGAGGAACACCGAUGGCGAAGGCAUCUCUCUGGACCGAUAUUGACGCUGAGGCGCGAAGGCGUGGGUAGCGAACGGGAUUAGAUACCCCGGUAGUC
RNAcentral lists this ribosomal RNA (465 nucleotides) under uncultured bacterium. Its description in RNAcentral is "partial 16S ribosomal RNA". It matches the Rfam family "Bacterial small subunit ribosomal RNA", at positions 339 to 795 of the family's 1533-position model. The record is from RNAcentral.